RNAcentral lists this long non-coding RNA (678 nucleotides) under Sorghum bicolor (sorghum). RNAcentral's name for it is "long non-coding RNA (SBIC_LNC000263)". The record is from RNAcentral. Lineage: Eukaryota; Viridiplantae; Streptophyta; Magnoliopsida; Poales; Poaceae.
GAUCAGAAAUGCUACAACACACAGGCAUCCAUACUUACCAUUGUUGUUGGUAACAAAAAUAUCCACACUUAUAUACCAUAGAAAUAUCCUUCCAUAACUAUUAGUAAUUUUUCCUAUGCUUCUUCUCGGCUAUGAAGAAAUUAGUAUGCGCCUAUGAGGCAUCAGGAAGCCCAUAUACUCCCGCGUUGGCGUUGAAAGCACGGCUUGUGGUCGUCCGGCUUCAAGACAGAGUCGGCUCUGUGGAGAGGUGCACCAAGUGGAGCCGCCCAAGCUCCAGUGUUCAUCCCCAAGCAUAUUAUUAGCUGUGAGCUAAGGAAAACCGAGAUACCAAUAAUGGAAGGCAAGCGGUCUCCAGCCCACCUGUCCAUCAGUCGCUUGUCUCGCAUCUGCGAGUAAACAAUCUGUUUCUCUCCCAGACACUAGACGAUCACACAUUUACGUCUUUUUGCCAAGAUCACCAAGUUUGUUUGUAGUGUCUCCUGGUCUCUGUAAACAUCAAGGCUCCAACACUUGCACUCCCACGAGAGGUUAAGGUUAAGGAUCGAUUUUCUUGCUCCAACUACCCUUUGAGUAGAGUAUAGAUAAUAGAUAAUAAGUAGUAAUAUCGAUGUUGAUGAAGUUUGAUUCUUAUUCAAGGUUCAUAUUACUUCCAGUUUGUUAUUCUUUCGUCUUUCUACG